AGUGAACGCUGGCGGUAGGCCUAACACAUGCAAGUCGAACGGCAGCACAGUAAGAGCUUGCUCUUACGGGUGGCGAGUGGCGGACGGGUGAGGAAUACAUCGGAAUCUACUUUUUCGUGGGGGAUAACGUAGGGAAACUUACGCUAAUACCGCAUACGACCUACGGGUGAAAGCAGGGGAUCUUCGGACCUUGCGCGAUUGAAUGAGCCGAUGUCGGAUUAGCUAGUUGGCGGGGUAAAGGCCCACCAAGGCGACGAUCCGUAGCUGGUCUGAGAGGAUGAUCGGCCACACUGGAACUGAGACACGGUCCAGACUCCUACGGGAGGCAGCAGUGGGGAAUGUUGGACAAAGGGCGCAAGCCUGACCCAGCCAUCCCGCGUGGGUGAAAAAGGCCUUCGGGUUGUAAAGCCCUUUUUUUGGGAAAAAAAAGCAGCAGGUUAAUACCCCGCUGUUCUGACGGUACCGAAAAAAGAAGCACCGGCUAACUUCGUG
Molecule: ribosomal RNA, 492 nt
Filed under: uncultured bacterium
Lineage: Bacteria
Description: partial 16S ribosomal RNA
Rfam family: Bacterial small subunit ribosomal RNA
Source: RNAcentral